UGUAAAUACAUUUGCACACCUCCACUUACAUCCUAUUAUUUUUAUUAUUUUUCUCACUUCACAUAUCCUCACAUUGCAUACAUGCAUUCCAUUCAUUUGCAUCCCAUUCGCAUUAUUCGUGACUUCUUCAAAGGAUCGUUCUUGGGCUUCACAAUUAAUGUGAUUGGCACCACUCAAUCUUUGAAGAGAAAUUUCCCCCAAUACCCCUAGG
Molecule: long non-coding RNA, 211 nt
Filed under: Coffea arabica (coffee)
Lineage: Eukaryota; Viridiplantae; Streptophyta; Magnoliopsida; Gentianales; Rubiaceae
Description: long non-coding RNA (CARA_LNC006297)
Source: RNAcentral